Long non-coding RNA from Neopsephotus bourkii (Bourke's parrot), 1058 nucleotides. RefSeq lists it as uncharacterized. The record is from RefSeq and is a predicted model, not a curated record. The transcript is spliced from 3 exons. Lineage: Eukaryota; Metazoa; Chordata; Aves; Psittaciformes; Psittacidae.
GCUCCCUCUUUCCUCAGCCUGUGACAGGGCUGGGCGUGCUCGUAGCAGGGCACACAGCGGCUUCAAUGCGAGUGCUGCCGGAGCACAGGCCCGCUUCCCCUGGGCUGCGAGAGGACGAGCGAGUUCACAAGGGACUUCAGCUGAUACAAUGUAGGAAUGAAAUACCCCAGCAGCUAGUAUGGAUACUGAGAACAUGAUGUACUUCAGAGCCCUGGCUUUCCGUGCCAAUUCAUCCUCACUGUUAAAACCCCACAUACAGGCAACAGACACUGUCCCCUGAAGCCAACAAUGCCUAUGACAGAAGUGUCAUUGAAAAACACACUGUAAUCUGUGUAUCCACACAGGCUAAAGCCAUCCUCAGUGCUGGCUGAAGUGCUAGUGACUUCUCUACUGUACAUCUUCUACUCUGGGAAACUUUAAACAAAAACCCUCGAGGGAUCAAUGGCCAUCUGGAGUUCCCAUUCUAGGAGAUGAGUGACUUGAGGCAAGUCUUUUUCUCUUCAGGGAAAGACCCAAAAGCACAACAGGCUUCUAAUCAGCCUUCUCUACUUAGCGCCACUUGGGGCAUGUCAGGAAUGCCAGACCAGUAUUGAUGCACCAGCAGGUAUCAGUAAAGAGUUAGGAUUGCCACGACCCUUAAGAACCACCUGUGGUGAUAUCAGGCAUGAAAGGUCAGAGGAUCAGGGAUCGUAUAUGCUAAUUAUAGGUAAAUACAAUUAAGUAUUGUCAGGCAGUAAGUAUUAGAUGGGAGGUUUGCUAAGCAAUUUAAGUACUUUUGCAUAACCUAAUGACAUUGUUAUUCAAUCCAAUAAUUGCCAGCAAACCCAAGCAAUUUAGAAUGCAAUUAAUUUCCCAAUGUCAAUUUUUGCAAAGCUAAAUUCAAAAUAAAUGCACACCCAAAAGCACAUACUGUUCAUUGCACUGAAUGAAGGCUGCAGCUAACAGCACCUAUUGGAGCUAAAUACAACUACCACACUUUGCUCAUUUCCUUAUUCAGCUGGAGUUGACUGACAUCUAUUAGAACAAAACCACUGCAUGCCCUUUUCCCACCCUCUCCU